CUCUCCCUUUUCAGACACAACUCCAUCCCAACAAGAUGAUCUGCUACAGCCUUCUGGGAUCUUCUGAUCCAUGUUGCGGUGCAGGAAACAGCAGGGACAAAGGGUCUUGUCACCCCUGUGGGCAAUCCUCUGGGGAUGCCUAUCACUGUAGUCCUUGCUCUCCUUGUCACAACUCCAGACCAAGCUGUGGCUUCCCUUGCUCCAGUUAUGGACAUCAAUCACCCUGCACUGACACCACAUCCAGCUGUGGGUUCCCAAGACAGAGCACCUGUAGACCCUGCAAGGUCAGCGAUUCCAGAUGUUCUUCCUCUGGCUACAGCACCAAAUCCAAUCAUUGUUCUCCUUACUACAGUUCCGGGUCGAAAUGCGCUCCUCCUUGCUAUAGCUACAACCAGCACCGUACUUGUUACAGCCCUGGAUCCAUCUGCUACAGGCCUUUCUGUGACGACAACCCAUGCUCUCCUUGCUACAGCACCAAAUCCGUCUGUUGUAGCCCUUGCUACAGCUGCAACGAGUGCAGCCCUUGCGAUGGCUACAAGCAGUGCAGCCCUCGCUACAGCUACAAGUGGUGCAGCCCUUGCUCCAGCUCUGGAUACACCUGCUAUGGUCCUAACUAUAGCUACAGCCACUGCUCCCCUUACUACAAGGGGUCCACCUGUGACAGCCGUUGCUACAGCUACAAGCAGUGCAACCCUUGCUACAGCUGCAACGAGUGCAGCCCUUGCGAUGGCCACAAGCGGUGCAGCCCUUGCUCCAGCUCUGGAUACACCUGCUAUGGUCCUAACUAUAGCUACAGCCACUGCUCCCCUUACUACAAGGGGUCCACCUGUGACAGCCGUUGCUACAGCUACAAGCAGUGCAACCCUUGCUACAGCUGCAACGAGUGCAGCCCUUGCGAUGGCUACAAGUGGUGCAGCCCUUGCUCCAGCUCUGGAUACACCUGCUAUGGUCCUAACUAUAGCUACAGCCACUGCUCCCCUUACUACAAGGGGUCCACCUGUGACAGCCGUUGCUACAGCAACAAGCAGUGCGACCUUUGCUAUGAUGUUGUA
Molecule: long non-coding RNA, 1052 nt
Filed under: Pogona vitticeps (central bearded dragon)
Lineage: Eukaryota; Metazoa; Chordata; Lepidosauria; Squamata; Agamidae
Description: lncRNA (ENSPVIG00000003500.1)
Source: RNAcentral